CCUACGGGCGGCAGCAGUGAGGAAUAUUGGUCAAUGGACGAGAGUCUGAACCAGCCAAGUAGCGUGAAGGAUGACUGCCCUAUGGGUUGUAAACUUCUUUUAUAUGGGAAUAAAAUGUUCCACGUGUGGGAUUUUGUAUGUACCAUAUGAAUAAGGAUCGGCUAACUCCGUGCCAGCAGCCGCGGUAAUACGGAGGAUCCGAGCGUUAUCCGGAUUUAUUGGGUUUAAAGGGAGCGUAGGUGGAUUGUUAAGUCAGUUGUGAAAGUUUGCGGCUCAACCGUAAAAUUGCAGUUGAAACUGGCAGUCUUGAGUACAGUAGAGGUGGGCGGAAUUCGUGGUGUAGCGGUGAAAUGCUUAGAUAUCACGAAGAACGCCGAUUGCGAAGGCAGUUCACUGGACUGCAACUGACACUGAGGCUCGAAAGUGUGGGUAUCAAACAGGAUUAGAUACCCGGGUAGUC
This 460-nucleotide ribosomal RNA is filed under the name uncultured bacterium. Its description in RNAcentral is "partial 16S ribosomal RNA". It matches the Rfam family "Bacterial small subunit ribosomal RNA", at positions 338 to 795 of the family's 1533-position model. The record is from RNAcentral.